Molecule: ribosomal RNA, 253 nt
Filed under: uncultured bacterium
Lineage: Bacteria
Description: partial 16S ribosomal RNA
Rfam family: Bacterial small subunit ribosomal RNA
Source: RNAcentral
UACGGAGGGUGCAAGCGUUAUCCGGAUUCACUGGGUUUAAAGGGAGCGCAGGCGGACUUGUAAGUCAGUGGUGAAAUACCUGAGCUUAACUCGGGAACUGCCAUUGAUACUAUAGGUCUUGAAUGUUGUUGAGGUUUGCGGAAUGGGUCAUGUAGCGGUGAAAUGCGUAGAUAUGACCCGGAACACCUAUUGCGAAGGCAGCAGGCUAAACAAAUAUUGACGCUGAGGCUCGAAAGCGUGGGGAUCAAACAGG